GACCGGGUACGCAAACUGGAAAAGCGGCGAGGUUGAGAGCCUCGUGUUUGUGGGUUCGACUCCCACCUCGGUCA
Molecule: transfer RNA, 74 nt
Filed under: Planctomycetota bacterium
Lineage: Bacteria; Pseudomonadati; Planctomycetota
Description: Planctomycetes bacterium (sediment metagenome) tRNA-Leu
Rfam family: tRNA
About the family: Transfer RNA (tRNA) molecules are approximately 80 nucleotides in length. Their secondary structure includes four short double-helical elements and three loops (D, anti-codon, and T loops). Further hydrogen bonds mediate the characteristic L-shaped molecular structure. tRNAs have two regions of fundamental functional importance: the anti-codon, which is responsible for specific mRNA codon recognition, and the 3' end, to which the tRNAs corresponding amino acid is attached (by aminoacyl-tRNA synthetases). tRNAs cope with the degeneracy of the genetic code in two manners: having more than one tRNA (with a specific anti-codon) for a particular amino acid; and 'wobble' base-pairing, i.e. permitting non-standard base-pairing at the 3rd anti-codon position.
Source: RNAcentral